RNAcentral lists this ribosomal RNA (500 nucleotides) under uncultured bacterium. RNAcentral describes it as "partial 16S ribosomal RNA". It matches the Rfam family "Bacterial small subunit ribosomal RNA", at positions 30 to 523 of the family's 1533-position model. The record is from RNAcentral.
AUUGAACGCUGGCGGCAGGCCUAACACAUGCAAGUCGAGCGGAUGAGUGGAGCUUGCUCCAUGAUUCAGCGGCGGACGGGUGAGUAAUGCCUAGGAAUCUGCCUGGUAGUGGGGGACAACGUUUCGAAAGGAACGCUAAUACCGCAUACGUCCUACGAGAGAAAGCAGGGGACCUUCGGGCCUUGCGCUAUCAGAUGGGCCUAGGUCGGAUUAGCUAGUAGGUGAGGUCAAGGCUCACCUAGGCGACGAUCCGUAACUGGUCUGAGAGGAUGAACAGUCACACUGGAACUGAGACACGGUCCAGACUCCUACGGGAGGCAGCAGUGGGGAAUAUUGGACAAUGGGCGAAAGCCUGAUCCAGCCAUGCCGCGUGUGUGAAGAAGGUCUUCGGAUUGUAAAGCACUUUAAGUUGGGAGGAAGGGCAGUAAGUUAAUACCUUGCUGUUUUGAUGUUACCAACAGAAUAAGCACCGGCUAACUUCGUGCCAGCCGCCGCCGUAA